RNAcentral lists this microRNA (22 nucleotides) under Macaca mulatta (Rhesus monkey). RNAcentral's name for it is "mml-miR-649". Its record names the gene mml-miR-649. The record is from miRBase by way of RNAcentral. Lineage: Eukaryota; Metazoa; Chordata; Mammalia; Primates; Cercopithecidae. RNAcentral also lists the same sequence under 2 other names.
AAACCUGUGUUGUUCAAGAGUC